Molecule: long non-coding RNA, 2000 nt
Filed under: Triticum aestivum (bread wheat)
Lineage: Eukaryota; Viridiplantae; Streptophyta; Magnoliopsida; Poales; Poaceae
Description: long non-coding RNA (TAES_LNC010448)
Source: RNAcentral
AAAGAAGCACAAAAUGCUCACUCGAUGUGUAUGACAGAUCAUCUCCAGAAAAUACAAAAUAGCUGCAGCGACUUUAACUAAAUGAACUACGGCAACUAAUGAUAUGGUCAAACGUAUGGGAAUUCCAUGUAUCAAUUUAUAUGUUAACUAUUUAGCAGCGAUAUGGUCAACGUAUGGGAAUUCCAUGUAUCAAUUUAUUGCCUAAAGUCAACAUUUCAGCAUAUAAAUUGCUUAUUUGGAGCAUCAGGUUCAAACAAGAUUUAUGAACAAAACUAAUCAGAGGCAGUGAAUUGCAUGAGCAAUAGACACGCCUAAGGCCAAAACACCCGACCAUAUACAUAUUUAACUCAGGCUCCAGUAGAGUAUUUCACUGUUGAUACAAUGCCUAGGAGCACAACUUUCAAAAUUCAAACAAAACACACAAUCAAUGAUACAAUACAAUGUAAAUGAUAAUAAUUCGCAUAUUGCAAGACAGAACACAGGCUUUGCCUCAUAAAAUUAAACCAUUCGCAGCAUGAAGGUUCUAAGAGUAAAUGGGCACACAAUCAAUGAUACAAUACAAUACAAUAGAAUACCCGCAAAAAAAUGAUACAAUACAAUGCAAAUGAUAAUUUAUAUAUUGCAAGACAGAACACAGCUUUGCCUCAUAAAAUUAAACCACAUCAUUAAAUAAACACGAACCGAAUAUACAAGACCACGUUCCAGCCUACACAUAACACACCCCACAGCGAAUGAGGUGCUUCGGUUGACAAGGAAUAUUCUAGAAACGGAAUCACUAAUCAGACAUAAGCACAAAAAAACUCUGAACUAAAUCGCAUAUUUUUUGAAUGUGUAACCAAAUCUGACUUGCUUUACCAAAUGUUUGAUGAAGAAAUGAACAAAGCAGACACAUUAGUUUCUGAAAAAGAAACUAAGUAUCUGCUUGUCAGUUAACUCACCCGACCAGCAUGAUUUCCUACUUGCAAGAUGUUUUCUAUCAAAUAACUAACUAAAACCCAUCACUGGUACAGAACUACGGAUAUACAGUUGAACUGUAACCCAAAAGAAGGCACCUUGUUGUCAGCACCAAUAAGGCAUUAUGCCUCUGUAUCUAACUUGGUAGGUCAAAAGGACAUUUGAAAGAAUCAUCAACUCAAACAAUACUCUUGUCGAUUUUAAAAGGUUUUCCAAGAAGCACAAAAUGCUUACUCAAUGUGUAUACCAACUCAUCAGCAGAAAAUACAAAACAGCUGCAGCGACGUUAACUAAAUGAACUACGGCAAAGUAAUGAAAUAAGAUACUGCGCCACUCAGCGCUUAUAUGGUCAACAUAUAUGAAUUUGACGUAUCAAUUUAUUGCCUAAACUCAGUAUUUCAGCAUAUAAAUUGCUUAUUUGGAGCAUCAGGUUCAAAUAAGAUUUGUGAACAAAACUAAUCAGAGGCAGUGAACCGCAUGAGCAGUAUACGAACCUAAGGCCAAAACACCUGACCGUAUACAUAUUUAACUCAGGCUCGAGCAGAGUAUUUCACUGUUGAUACCAUGACUAUGAGCACAACUUUCAAAAUUCAAACAAAGCACACAAUCAAUGGUACAAUGCAAAUGAUAAUUCACAUAUUGCAAGACUGAACACAGGCUCUAAAAAAGGGCAGCCCCAGUGCAUGCAGCUCCCGCUUGUGCAGGGUCUGGGAAAGGGUCCGACCACUUUGGGUCUAUUGUACGCAGCCUUUCCCUACAUUUCUGUAAGAGGCUGUUUCCAGGACUUGAACCCGUGACCUCAUGGUCACAAGGCAGCAGCUUUACCACUACGCCAAGGCUCCCCUCAUGAACACAGGCUCUGCAUCAUAAAAUUAAAUCAUUCGCAGCAUGAAGGUACUAAAGAGUAAAUGGCGCACACAAAUUACAGGGCAACAAAAAAUCAGUAGAGCAGUCUUUAUGGUGUGGUAUUUUGGAUGCAUGCCUAGUCUACACCAGUUAAGUAAUCUACUAGAGCCAAGAUAAACAAGAGCAUACAUCUCUCCUAG